Molecule: transfer RNA, 62 nt
Filed under: Anindobothrium anacolum
Lineage: Eukaryota; Metazoa; Platyhelminthes; Cestoda; Phyllobothriidea; Phyllobothriidae
Description: tRNA-Asp
Source: RNAcentral
GCAAUUUUAGUUUAAAUAAAAUGUCAGUUUGUCUCACUGUUGAUGGCUUUUGCUAAAUUGCU